Non-coding RNA from Drosophila melanogaster (fruit fly), 1294 nucleotides. Lineage: Eukaryota; Metazoa; Arthropoda; Insecta; Diptera; Drosophilidae. The record is from Ensembl.
CAUCAAUACUGCCAGUGCGACGGGUGUCAUAUAGCUUAAAGACCGCCCGCCACUUGGCAAUAUCGGUAAGCAGAGCUUCGAACUCCUCGAAACCAAGGCGACCGGAGCGAUCCUUGUCCAGCAUGGCUACCAUCGAACGCACGGCAUCCUUGGAGAAGCCAUCACUGCCCACCAUAACAUCGCGCAUAGAGUGGUCCAGGAUGCGCUUCAGCUCCUGCCAGUCGACUUCCUCAUCGCUGCCAGCCACGCUGUCGAACAGACGACGCAGUGCAAUGCGCUGCGGAUCAUCCUCCUCCUUUGGAGUCGGUGGCGGCAGAGACGGAGCAAUGCGAUCGUCGGUCUCGCCAAAGCCAACCUCAUCGUCGUUCUCCUCCAUAUUGUUCCUUGUCUCCGAGAAGACGCGAAUAAUGAACUCGCCCUCCUCAUUCGGAUCGAAGGUCGAUGGAACAAUCAGGUAGUGGCCAGGUGGCAACUUAAACCGGGCGCAAACCUCGCGCGUGUUGAUAAAAUGUGGUGAACGCGCCACCGAUGCUCGGUACUUGAAGAAGUUGAGUCCCUGGGGCUUCACUUGCAUGUCACGGUCUGUGAGAUGAUAUAUAGCAAAUCCGAUGGUCAGACAGUCGAUGCCCACGUUGCGCUUGCUACGUCGAUUCUUCUGCAUAAGGGCCACAAUAGCCGUGCAUUUGCCAUCGUCAUCCUCGUCGUCGGGAUCCUCCAGCGAAAUGAUGUACUGCGGAUUGUGCCAGAAGGUUUCCAGGAAGUUUCUGCAACCGCCGGCUGUUACUCCCGAUGUCCACUCACCCUCGAACAUGGACAUUUCCCACUUGCGGCGAGAGCUGUGCUGCUGAUCCUCAGUCAGCGAGUCGGGCGACAAAUUACAUAUCUCCACGCGAUCAAAAUGAUUGAGGAAGUCCUGGAAGGACAUCCAGAACUCGCCGUCCCUAUCGAAAUUCAGGCCAAUCUCCUCCUUCGUGUGCUCCGGAAUAAAUCGCCACUCAGGCGAGCUGUCGCUCCACGGACCGCUCCAUUCGGCAUCGUUGCCCCAUGGAUUACGCAUACGUAUCAUGGGCAAUUUUCCCUGCCGAUUGGGCGUCGAUAUGUCCAUGAGGCACACCUUGGUAAUGGAGUAUGCAUGACCGCGAAUCAAACCUUGUGGCGUCUCCGCUUCCAGAACAUGUGGAUCCGGCUCCAAAGAGCAGCCCAUCAUCGAGCCACGCUCGGCGGCCUUCAUCAUGAUGCUGAAUAGAUUUGGGGGCGCCUCCUUGAUGUCGUACCACUCGGUGACGCCGCCAGU